UAGGGUCAAAGGAAUGGUCGAUUAUCGGUGACAGUGUCUCAUAAGAUUCAGUCAAAAUCUAUUAGGGGUUUAAGAUUUGGAUCAAAGGAAGACUUCGGUGUGAUAGUGUCUCAUGGGAUUUGUUUAUUGAUUUUUCAGUCUAGGGUUUUGGAUGGAUUUGGGAUUUAGGUUUUCAGUAUAAAUAGAUUUGGGUUUUAGCCAUUAAGUGUUAGUGUUGAUACUCUCUUUAUUCUCUAACUUGAAUUUCUUCAUGUUAUGUAGAUGUUAGGUUGUGAAGACAAUGAGGAGCUACUUGGAUAGGGCACUGAAUCACGAGCAAAAGCAACUGGUGGAAAGAUUAGAGCCUUAGAGGUAAUGUUAUUUAUCAUUUAACAGGCAUGUCUUUUGUGCAUUUUUGUUAUGUCUUUUAACUGAUUUUCUGACUGCAAUAAGUUCCAGAUUCGGGUGCGAGACUGAGGGAAUUGAUGGCAUCAUGUUUCUGUUUUUUUUUUCUAUCAUUAUGAUUUCUUUUGGUCCCUCAUUCUGUAUUUUGGACAU
Molecule: long non-coding RNA, 537 nt
Filed under: Brassica napus (rape)
Lineage: Eukaryota; Viridiplantae; Streptophyta; Magnoliopsida; Brassicales; Brassicaceae
Description: long non-coding RNA (BNAP_LNC015490)
Source: RNAcentral